Molecule: long non-coding RNA, 772 nt
Filed under: Zea mays
Lineage: Eukaryota; Viridiplantae; Streptophyta; Magnoliopsida; Poales; Poaceae
Description: long non-coding RNA (ZMAY_LNC004633)
Source: RNAcentral
UUUUGUUGAACCCAAUACUUGGUCCUUUUAUUGGCUAAGUGUGAACCUUUGGCACCGGUAUAACUUAUACACUAGAGCAAACUAGUUAGUCCAAUUAUUUAUGUUGGGCAAUUCAACCACCAAAAUUAAUUAGGGACUAGGUGUAAGCCUAAUUCCCUUUCAGGGAUCCUGCACCAAAUAAGAAAUAAUUAUUAGUCAUGAAACAUGAGUUGCAAGAUAAUGAGGUCCACAACAACUCAAGAUAAAUAGUACUACAUACCCUUCGUGGAAGUCUAAAUUGCAUCAGUGAAUCAUUACAUCUCAAUGUCAAUGUUAAAUACUAAGCUCAGAUUCAAUUCCUUUAUGCUAAUCAAGUUUAACUACUCAAAGAAAAAGUCCAAACAAUUUUAGUCAAAUAUGUUUAGGGUUUAGGGUUUUAUCCUAAUCAAGUUUAACUACUCAAAGAACAAGUGUGUUAUUUAGCUAGCAUGUACAUAUAAGUUUGCAUCACAAAAAUGUGGCUCACAGCCAAAUCAACAUAGGAAAUUAAUAGAACCUAGUAACCUACUAUUACCUUAGUUUUAUCGAGUGCACACAUUCCAAAGCACUCACUAGUAUCAUCACAACACUAAUUAGUUUAGUUUGUCCAAAAGGGUACAAGAAAAACUGACCCCAACUUGAACUUCAUCUUUUUAGCCUUGAUACUAUAUGAAGAAAUUUGGCUACUAGCUGAGGGCAGCCACUUCUUGACAAUCAUCACUAUCAGACUCCAGUUUAUCUGAAUCUUGCCCAU